RNAcentral lists this ribosomal RNA (393 nucleotides) under uncultured Chloroflexota bacterium. RNAcentral describes it as "bacterial SSU rRNA". It matches the Rfam family "Bacterial small subunit ribosomal RNA", at positions 370 to 779 of the family's 1533-position model. The record is from RNAcentral. Lineage: Bacteria; Bacillati; Chloroflexota.
AAUGGACGAAAGUCUGAUGCAGCGACACCGCGUGAAGGAUGAAGGCCCUAGGGUUGUAAACUUCUUUUAUUAGGGAAUAGCAAGGAAGGUAUCUAAUGAAUAGGCAACGGCUAACUACGUGCCAGCAGCCGCGGUAAUACGUAGGUUGCAAACGUUGUCCGGAAUCACUGGGCGUAAAGGGUCCGUAGGCGGUUUGAUAAGUCUCAUAUGAAAGCUUCAAGCUCAACUUGGAGAUGUUGUGAGAUACUGUCAGACUAGAGACUGUUAGAGGUAAGUGGAAUUCCAGGUGUAGUGGUGAAAUGCGUAGAUAUCUGGAGGAACACCAGUGGCGAAAGCGACUUACUGGGACAGUUCUGACGCUAAGGGACGAAAGCGUGGGGAGCGAACCGGAUU